RNAcentral lists this ribosomal RNA (253 nucleotides) under uncultured bacterium. Its description in RNAcentral is "partial 16S ribosomal RNA". It matches the Rfam family "Bacterial small subunit ribosomal RNA", at positions 524 to 776 of the family's 1533-position model. The record is from RNAcentral.
UACGGGGGGGGCAAGCGUUGUUCGGAAUUACUGGGCGUAAAGGGCGCGUAGGCGGCAUGACAAGUCACUUGUGAAAUCUCCGGGCUUAACUCGGAACGGUCAAGUGAUACUGUCGCGCUAGAGUGCGGAAGGGGCAAUCAGAAUUCUUGGUGUAGCGGUGAAAUGCGUAGAUAUCAAGAGGAAUACCUGAGGUGAAGACGGGUUGCUAGGCCGACACUGACGCUGAAGCGCGAAAGCCAGGGGAGCAAACGGG